UGGACAAUGGGUUUGACCUAAUGGUAAUAGACCUAGGUGAGGGAUUAGGACCCAGCAAGGCCUGCCUGUUCAGAUUCUUCUUGGCCUCUCUGUGCAGCAUUCCUUCUUGCCAGGUAUGAAGCAGGACCCUCUGGACUGAGGGUCUUCAAGGAAGAAGGGAAGAGUGGUCUUUCUACAUCUUAUGGCUUGCUCUUGGGGAGAGAAGUUUUAGUUUCUGCGACCUACCUUGGGGAGAGGAAUUCUGGUUUCUAUGACUUGCUUCAGGGAAGAAAGAGGGGUGGGAGACAGGAGGAGGGAGAGAAGGUCAGAGCGACCUUGCUUCUGAAGCCCCUUCAGUCUCCUUCAGUUCAAAGUCCUCGGCAUGCCAAGGUGACAGACUUUGCGAUGUUGUUUUCUGAGCUCCAACAAGUGCUUUUGUGGAAUUUUAGCCAUCGAAGGUCAUAUAUUGUUGAAAUUACCAGAAUUUCAAAAAUGUACAAUCUGAAUCAAUUUCAUCUUUCCUUUGUAACUUAUUCGUGCUCCAGAGUGGCAUCUAUAGGAAAAGUUUGUGCUUAAAUUAAUGAGGCAAAAGAAGUAUAUCCACUUGAAAAUAUUUCAUUAUUUAGCCAUCUAAGUCAGAGGAGCUUCUAGCCAAAGUUUAGAAGUCUUUGCACUUAGACAACACCUGGACCCCCCACCUCUGCACCUAGGGUCCUCCCUGUGGCCUCCCCAUCAGGCACGGCAGUGCAGAGCUAGCAAAGGGUACCAUCUGGCAGGGCCUCUCCACCAGCCCUGCAGCCCUGUGGUGCUACCUAGGGUCAGGUGCCCUCAAAGCUCCAUCACUAAACUGCUCAGUGGGACUUAUAGGCACUGCUUAUUGGAAACAGUCUUCCACUGGAUGUUUUAUAUUCAGAGAUUCAUCAGGGGUAAAUCUGACUGAAAGAGAUAUUUAUUUUGAAAGCCAAGUUUCUCCAGAGGCUUGUCAGUGAAGCUUCAGAGUUCAAGGCUGCUGCAUGUCAGUGAGAUCAACUGUGUGCCUUUUGACACAUUGGACUUAAGUAAUCAGUCCACUGUGGAGUUUGGGGCUGGGAGUGGGCAUUGGGACAAUUCAAGCAUAAGAGAGAUGGGAACAGGCUGUGCGUAAGGGGGACUCAAUUUGUGUUUAUGAUGGUAAAUUAGGGCCAGGAAGUCCUUAUGGGUUCAACUCUCAAAGUAAUUACAUCUUUGCUAAGAUCUGCCAAUUCUUUCUGAAGGGGAUAGAUUGAAACUACAAUUUUAACUCUUGAUUGAAUUGCUACUUCUUUUAUCAGGUAAAAUGCAUUGCAAAAGUGAAGUCUUUUGGCUAGUUCUGCACUGCCAGAGCCUUCCAUUAUUAUCUUUUUCAGAAACAUGCUGAUGAAUAAGGACCUUCACUGCAGCAUAAUAGUGAUGUGAAAUAACUGGAGAAGUUGAAAAUAUUUAACUACUGGGGAAUGAAUGGUUUAAUAAUUUAUGGUACAUCCUUAUUAUGAGAUACUAUUCAAGUAUUAAGAAAAUAAGGCCUGCCUGGCAUAGUGGCUCACACCUGUAAUCCCAGCACUUUGGAAGACUGAGGUGGGCAGAUCACAAGGUCAAGAGUUCAAGACCAGCCUGACCAACAUGGUGAAACCCUGUCUCUACUAAAAAUACAAAAAUUAGCUGGGUGUGGUGGUACACACUUGUAAUCCCAGCUACUUAGGAGGCUGAGGCAGGAGAAUCACUUGAACCCAGGAGGCAGAGGUUGCAGUGAGCUGAGAUCACGCCAUUGCAUUCCAGCCUGGGUGACAGAGUGAGACUUCAUCUCAAAAAAAAAAAAAAAAAAAAAAA
This is a long non-coding RNA of Macaca fascicularis (crab-eating macaque), 1824 nucleotides long. The record is from Ensembl. NCBI's taxonomy places the organism in Eukaryota, Metazoa, Chordata, Mammalia, Primates, Cercopithecidae.